Sphaeramia orbicularis (orbiculate cardinalfish) is the source of this 799-nucleotide long non-coding RNA. RefSeq lists it as uncharacterized. The record is from RefSeq and is a predicted model, not a curated record. Lineage: Eukaryota; Metazoa; Chordata; Actinopteri; Kurtiformes; Apogonidae. The transcript has 3 exons.
AUUGGUCACCAUGUGGUCUAGGACCAGAGUUAAUCAGGUCAUAUAAAAAUCCACUACAGGGGACCAUUCUUUCUCUGUUGGACAUCUCUCUUUACAUUUUUCUACCAUCUGCAGAAGAAACACCUUGAGGCUUCCCAUUGUUGCAGCCGAGCCUGACAGCAUAUGCCCUUGUGACCCUUCCGAGGCCCCCACUUUUGUCGUUGGCAGUGACAUGAGUGCCUGCCUGAGACUAACCAACAGCAAAGUUUCCUAAAUCUCGUGCCAGUGGCUACAACACAGAGUUUACCAUCUGAACCUACAAGCAACAGGAGCCACAGAAUGGGAUUAACAUCAACCAGCUAACUUUACAAAGAGGACAAAGACCAGCCACGGACCUCAGCAGCACAAAUGACAUUGAAACCCUCCAGCUCACUGGACUCAAAGCAGUUUUGGGCUCGCAGCCAGCUAGGUCUACUCCUCUGGCGCGACACAAGACAGGAAGCUGACAUAAAAGAAUAGGGGGACCGACAGUAAGGGAUGCAGGAGCCAAGGCAGGAGCCACUAGCAAGUUCGGAAGUUAUUGUCUCAGCUUUCAGGCAUCCACAGUGACAAGAACCAUAUCACUCUCUUGAACUUUGUGUGAUCCGUAGGUGAUGACCAUAAGCAUGAAAAGCAUACCAGGACAGGAAUUUGGCCGAUGAGGGUUACAGUAUCAGUCCCAGGACAUGAAGAGCUAAUAAAUUCCAGCAGACUGUGGUGGCAGAACAGGGACACUGUGGACUAAUAAUGCAACACCUGCAACUGGCCAAUCCAAACCAGC